AGGGCAUCUACUCAAGAUCAAUAAUAGAGAAUUUAUAUCGCAGAUUCAUUAAUUGAUUAUGCUUAUACCACUAAAAAUAUAUAGAAAUUAAUAUCAUAUAUUUCACUGGUGUCUAAUUUAUAUAACAUAUAGACAUAGACAUAUAAUAUUAAUUGUGCUAGAAUAUUAAAAUACAUGAUAAAGCAUUAAACUUGAGAAUUGAGCUUACUAAUCUCAAUGUACAUA
This 225-nucleotide long non-coding RNA is filed under the name Elaeis guineensis (African oil palm). RNAcentral describes it as "long non-coding RNA (EGUI_LNC013416)". The record is from RNAcentral. Lineage: Eukaryota; Viridiplantae; Streptophyta; Magnoliopsida; Arecales; Arecaceae.